GAAGUUAAAGGCAGUGGCUCAACCNUUGUAGGCUUUGGAAACUGUUUAACUNGAGUGCAGAAGGGGAGAGUGGAAUUCCAUGUGUAGCGGUGAAAUGCGUAGAUAUAUGGAGGAACACCGGUGGCGAAAGCGGCUCUCUGGUCUGUAACUGACGCUGAGGCUNGAAAGCGUGGGGAGCGAACAGGAUUAGAUACCCUGGUAGUNCACGCCGUAAACGAUGAGUGCUAGGUGUUAGGUCCUUUCCGGGACUUAGUGCCGCAGCUAACGCAUUAAGCACUCCGCCUGGGGAGUACGACCGCAAGGUUGAAACUCAAAGGAAUUGACGGGGGCCCGCACAAGCGGUGGAGCAUGUGGUUUAAUUCGAAGCAACGCGAAGAACCUUACCAGGUCUUGACAUCCCGAUGCCCGCUCUAGAGAUAGAGCUUUACUUCGGUACAUCGGUGACAGGUGGUGCAUGGUUGUCGUCAGCUCGUGUCGUGAGAUGUUGGGUUAAGUCCCGCAACGAGCGCAACCCUUAUUGUUAGUUGCCAUCAUUCAGUUGGGCACUCUAGCGAGACUGCCGGUAAUAAACCGGAGGAAGGUGGGGAUGACGUCAAAUCAUCAUGCCCCUUAUGACCUGGGCUACACACGUGCUACAAUGGCUGGUACAACGAGUCGCAAGCCGGUGACGGCAAGCUAAUCUCUGAAAGCCAGUCUCAGUUCGGAUUGUAGGCUGCAACUCGCCUACAUGAAGUCGGAAUCGCUAGUAAUCGCGGAUCAGCACGCCGCGGUGAAUACGUUCCCGGGCCUUGUACACACCGCCCGUCACACCACGAGAGUUUGUAACAC
RNAcentral lists this ribosomal RNA (828 nucleotides) under uncultured bacterium. RNAcentral describes it as "bacterial SSU rRNA". It matches the Rfam family "Bacterial small subunit ribosomal RNA", at positions 591 to 1420 of the family's 1533-position model. The record is from RNAcentral.